This is a long non-coding RNA of Amblyraja radiata (thorny skate), 381 nucleotides long. RefSeq lists it as uncharacterized. The record is from RefSeq and is a predicted model, not a curated record. NCBI's taxonomy places the organism in Eukaryota, Metazoa, Chordata, Chondrichthyes, Rajiformes, Rajidae. The transcript is spliced from 2 exons.
AUCGACCUUUGCUGGGAAAUGAUGGGACCCCGAGAGGAUGUUCGAGCGUCGCCGGCGGUCGGCGGCGUGAAAACGGGGUCUAUUGUUCUGACUGUAUGGCAAAACAAAUUCCAGAGAUAUUUACACCUCCAGUGAAUGAACAAAAGUCCAUCCCAGCCAUUUAUCUUGGGAGUCUGCAAAAAUCACACCUGCCCAAGACAAGAUUUUGGUUUCUUUGAUAGUUGCUGGUACUAGUUACAAACAAUGAUCUUUGUCUAACUAAUAAAUGAGUUCCACUAAGACGAAGUUGAGCCGAUGAGUCUGUUUCCACGCUGUUUGACUCUAUUAAGAAUGCGACUGGUUGCCUUGGUUUGACAAAUUGCCGUGUUCCCCUCAAAACAA